CUACGGGGCGCUGCAGUGGGGAAUAUUGCGCAAUGGGGGAAACCCUGACGCAGCGACGCCACGUGAGGGAUGAAGGCUUUCGGGUCGUAAACCUCUGUCAGGAGGGAAGAACCUCUUCGGGUCUAAUAGGCCUGGAGACUGACGGUACCUCCAGAGGAAGCACCGGCUAACUCCGUGCCAGCAGCCGCGGUAAUACGGAGGGUGCGAGCGUUAAUCGGAAUUACUGGGCGUAAAGCGUGCGUAGGCGGCUUUUUAAGUCAGAUGUGAAAGCCCUCGGCUCAACCGGGGAAUUGCAUUUGAUACUGGAAGGCUAGAGUCUCGGAGAGGCAAGGGGAAUUCCUGGUGUAGGAGUGAAAUCCGUAGAUAUCAGGAGGAACACCGGUGGCGAAGGCGCCUUGCUGGACGAGUACUGACGCUGAGGUACGAAAGCGUGGGGAGCAAACAGGAUUAGAUACCCCAGUAGUC
RNAcentral lists this ribosomal RNA (465 nucleotides) under uncultured bacterium. RNAcentral describes it as "partial 16S ribosomal RNA". It matches the Rfam family "Bacterial small subunit ribosomal RNA", at positions 339 to 795 of the family's 1533-position model. The record is from RNAcentral.